Molecule: transfer RNA, 72 nt
Filed under: Stegodyphus mimosarum
Lineage: Eukaryota; Metazoa; Arthropoda; Arachnida; Araneae; Eresidae
Rfam family: tRNA
About the family: Transfer RNA (tRNA) molecules are approximately 80 nucleotides in length.
Source: Rfam by way of RNAcentral
GGCUUCGUAGUGUAGUAGUCAGCACGCUCGACUCGUAUUCAAGAUGUCCGUGUUCCAGUCCCGGUGAGGUUA